This 893-nucleotide ribosomal RNA is filed under the name Bacillus sp. LPPA 529. RNAcentral's name for it is "bacterial SSU rRNA". It matches the Rfam family "Bacterial small subunit ribosomal RNA", at positions 46 to 921 of the family's 1533-position model. The record is from RNAcentral. Lineage: Bacteria; Bacillati; Bacillota; Bacilli; Caryophanales; Bacillaceae.
GCCUAAUACAUGCAAGUCGAGCGGACAGAAGGGAGCUUGCUCCCGGAUGUUAGCGGCGGACGGGUGAGUAACACGUGGGUAACCUGCCUGUAAGACUGGGAUAACUCCGGGAAACCGGAGCUAAUACCGGAUAGUUCCUUGAACCGCAUGGUUCAAGGAUGAAAGACGGUUUCGGCUGUCACUUACAGAUGGACCCGCGGCGCAUUAGCUAGUUGGUGAGGUAACGGCUCACCAAGGCGACGAUGCGUAGCCGACCUGAGAGGGUGAUCGGCCACACUGGGACUGAGACACGGCCCAGACUCCUACGGGAGGCAGCAGUAGGGAAUCUUCCGCAAUGGACGAAAGUCUGACGGAGCAACGCCGCGUGAGUGAUGAAGGUUUUCGGAUCGUAAAGCUCUGUUGUUAGGGAAGAACAAGUGCAAGAGUAACUGCUUGCACCUUGACGGUACCUAACCAGAAAGCCACGGCUAACUACGUGCCAGCAGCCGCGGUAAUACGUAGGUGGCAAGCGUUGUCCGGAAUUAUUGGGCGUAAAGGGCUCGCAGGCGGUUUCUUAAGUCUGAUGUGAAAGCCCCCGGCUCAACCGGGGAGGGUCAUUGGAAACUGGGAAACUUGAGUGCAGAAGAGGAGAGUGGAAUUCCACGUGUAGCGGUGAAAUGCGUAGAGAUGUGGAGGAACACCAGUGGCGAAGGCGACUCUCUGGUCUGUAACUGACGCUGAGGAGCGAAAGCGUGGGGAGCGAACAGGAUUAGAUACCCUGGUAGUCCACGCCGUAAACGAUGAGUGCUAAGUGUUAGGGGGUUUCCGCCCCUUAGUGCUGCAGCUAACGCAUUAAGCACUCCGCCUGGGGAGUACGGUCGCAAGACUGAAACUCAAAGGAAUUGACGGGGGCC